Molecule: transfer RNA, 70 nt
Filed under: Marmota monax (woodchuck)
Lineage: Eukaryota; Metazoa; Chordata; Mammalia; Rodentia; Sciuridae
Description: tRNA.Ala
Rfam family: tRNA (bases 5-65)
About the family: Transfer RNA (tRNA) molecules are approximately 80 nucleotides in length. Their secondary structure includes four short double-helical elements and three loops (D, anti-codon, and T loops).
Source: RNAcentral
GGGCUGGGGCUCAGUGGUAGAGCGCUCGCCUAGCACAUGUGAGGCCCUGGGUUCGAUCCCCAGCACCACA